GGCUCAGUAGUUUAGCGGUAUGAUACGUCCUUCGGGCGUGCCCGAAAUGUGCAACAUUUCCUGUCUGGACGUGACCCGGGUUCGAUUCCCGGCUGAGCCC
Molecule: transfer RNA, 100 nt
Filed under: Penicillium brasilianum
Lineage: Eukaryota; Fungi; Ascomycota; Eurotiomycetes; Eurotiales; Aspergillaceae
Description: tRNA-Pro
Rfam family: tRNA
About the family: Transfer RNA (tRNA) molecules are approximately 80 nucleotides in length.
Source: RNAcentral